UAUUUAAAAAAAAAAAAAAAAAAAAUUU
This 28-nucleotide unclassified non-coding RNA is filed under the name Bombyx mori (domestic silkworm). RNAcentral describes it as "RNA (28-MER) from Bombyx mori (PDB 5GUH, chain B)". The record is from RNAcentral. Lineage: Eukaryota; Metazoa; Arthropoda; Insecta; Lepidoptera; Bombycidae.